This is a long non-coding RNA of Strigops habroptila (Kakapo), 120 nucleotides long. RefSeq lists it as uncharacterized. The transcript is spliced from 3 exons. NCBI's taxonomy places the organism in Eukaryota, Metazoa, Chordata, Aves, Psittaciformes, Psittacidae. The record is from RefSeq and is a predicted model, not a curated record.
AGCAACCUGCUCCAGUGGAAAGUGUCCCUGCCCGUGGCAGGGGUUGGAACUGGGGGAGCUUUAAGGUCCCUUUAACCCAAACCUGUCUGGGAUUCUACAAGUGAAAGGUGGAAGAGUUCC